This 1835-nucleotide long non-coding RNA is filed under the name Homo sapiens (human). RNAcentral's name for it is "HSALNT0079743". The record is from RNAcentral. Lineage: Eukaryota; Metazoa; Chordata; Mammalia; Primates; Hominidae.
AGGACAUAGCGUUUAGGACUGAAAGCAGAGAGUACUGGAUUCAGAGGAAAUGCCUUAAUUGGGAGAUUUGUGUCCUUGUUGUCAGGUCUCACUGGGGAGGCAAGAAGAAGAAAGAUAUGGAUUCCUGACAUUUGUUGAGAGGAUGGUUGGCUUUCUCCUCUUAGAUUUUAGAGAGCCGAAGGAAAGCUUUACCUUCAACUUCUGAAGAUGUGUUAAAAGUCACUGACAAGAGUCAAAUUAAUAACAGAAAAGGCAUACAAAUUUAAUUGAUCAUAGUUUUACAUAACACAGGAGCCUUCAGAAUGAAGAUCCAAAGAUACAGAGGAAUUGUACAUUUUAAUGCUUAGGGUCGACAAAAUAUGGACAGCCAUGUACAAAUACGAUUGGGCAAAAAGAGAAUGAUCUACUGCCAAUAGAGUUGGGAAACCCAGCAAGGCCUGUCUGUCUAGACUCCUCUUGGCCUCACUGCGCAGCAUUCGUUCCUCCUUGGUGUGUGGCAGGACCCUCUAUGGAAAGAGGGUGUUAUGACCUACAAUUAAAAAAGACUUGGAGCUAAAGCAGCUGUCAACCUGGAAGUACCAAUGGACACUGACAAAACAAUAAACAAAUCUCCAACAAAAGCCUGUUCUCUCUAGCCAAAAAUCCAAGACAGUCUUGAGAAGACUAGUAAGACAGAAAACUUUUAGACAAUAACAGCUCUACUCCAGCCAGCCACAACAACAAUAACAAAAAAACUGUGGCUCUACCCCACCCAUGGCAAAAGCCAAGUGGGGAAGCCAAGCUUUCCACUCAUGCCUGACUGUGACAAGGCACUCACCCUUCCUUCCAGGGUAACGUCUGGGAAAGCUGAGUAAGGAAUUGGUAGUUUCAUUCUCACUGGGUGGUAAGGAGUCCACCUUACUGUUAGCAGAGUCCACAUGACUUUAGUAGUGUUGGUAGUUGUGGUGGUAUUAUUAGUAGAGGCCAUUUAGGGAGCCAUGACAAGGCACUCAUAUCCAUCGCAGUCAGUGAGUUACCAGCAGACACCUCGUGUGGAGUUGGAAGUCCCAACCCUAGCAGUUGGAGACAGACUCCCUGCUACAACUUGAGAGUCAACAGAGGCCAAAUAAGGAACCUGGAGACCUGGGCAUUUAUCCCACAGAAACGGAACUUAUACCCACCCAAAAGGUUACCCAAAAAUAUGUGUAGUAGUUUUAAUUAUAGUAGUCAGUAACUGGAAACAAUCCAGAUGUCCUUCAAAAAGUGAAUGGUUAAGCAAACUGUGGUACUUCCAUUUCUUGGGAAAUUACUCAGUAAUUUAAAAAAAAUUGUUAAUGCAACAACCUAGAUGACUAUUCAGAGAUUUGUGCUGAGUGAAAAAAGCAAUCCCAAAAGGUUGUAUCUUGUAAUUCCAUUUAUGUAUUUUUCCUGAAAUGACAAAACUGCAGAAAUGUAGAACAAAUUAGUGGCUGCCAGGUGUUAAGGAGAAGGUGAAGAUAAGAGAAAAAUGUGUGCAGCUAUAAAAGUGCAACAUGAGGGAUCCUUGUGGUAGUGAAACUAUUCGGUAUCUUGCUUAUAUCAAUGUCAGCAUGUUACUUGUGAUUUUGUGGUGUUUGAUUUUUUUGGCGUUGUUAUAGUUUUUCCAUUGGUGGAUAUUGGGUGAAUAGCCCAUGAGAUAUAUCUGUAUUAUUUCUUCCAACUGCAUGUGAAUCUACAAUUAUCUAAAAAUUAAAAUUUUAAUUAAAAAUGGAGCUAAUUGGGUGUUUUUUCUAUUUUUCAAAAAGUAUCAUUAUAGGUAUUGAUUAGAAGUUAGAACCUGGAGGAGGACCAAAUAGGAGACCAAAAUUAAAUUAUCA